UUCCCUGACACCAGAGUGGGAGCUUACAUCGUUUCAAGAGACCCCAACUGGAUAAGUUAGGAGGGAUGUGGGGGACCGAACGAAAUGUUUUUCGUCUGGAGGACACCACUGUUAAAAUUUUGACUAACUAUAGUCCUAUAGUUUAUAGCAUACAAAGAGUUUCAUGUCCUCAGACUUUACUGGCUGGAGAGACUUUCUAGUACAUCUCUGAUCAAUAGAUGUUAUCUUGAUCUACCCAAGCCUUGUAUACCUACACGUGUCAGCACAGUUUAUGAGAGUUAUCUUAAUGACUUGGACUUCCACCAGGACAUUUUGAUUACUAGUGACCUCAGUUCUAAUCGACUUGUCUUUAUUGACAUUAAAACUGACCAGAUCAUGCGACAGAACUGGGCAGGAUCACCUUAUGGAGUCUGUGUGGCUUCAGAAGACAGACAACCUUGGUUCGAUAAUUCUAAAGAUGCUGUUGAUGUGGGUCUAUCUACGUCAUCAUUUGUAACCAUGUCAACCAAAGGCGUUAUACUGUUAGCAUCAGAAGCUCUUGGACUUUUCGUGGCUCCUAAGACAUUCGCCAUGGGUUCCUCCAGCUUUCUUCCAAUACUGAUCCUCAAAGAAAAUGGCAUCACCAAAAUGGCUGCCGAUGUCAACAGAAGACAUUUGUUUUAUUUU
Long non-coding RNA from Biomphalaria glabrata, 666 nucleotides. RefSeq lists it as uncharacterized. The transcript has 3 exons. Lineage: Eukaryota; Metazoa; Mollusca; Gastropoda; Planorbidae. The record is from RefSeq and is a predicted model, not a curated record.